GACGAACGCUGGCGGCGUGCCUAACACAUGCAAGUCGAGCGGGGUUGAAGCGAGAGGUAACUCGAACUUCUACCUAGCGGCGGACGGGUGAGUAACGCGUGGGCAACCUGCCUCAAGGUCUGGGAUAACAGCCCGAAAGGGCUGCUAAUACCGGGUAUGCUUGUGGCCUCGCAUGGGGCUAUGAGCAAAGGGGAAACCCGCCUUGAGAUGGGCCCGCGUCCCAUCAGCUAGUUGGUGAGGUAACAGCUCACCAAGGCGACGACGGGUAGCCGGCCUGAGAGGGUGACCGGCCACACUGGGACUGAGACACGGCCCAGACUCCUACGGGGGGCAGCAGUGGGGGAUCUUGCACAAUGGGCGAAAGCCUGAUGCAGCGACGCCGCGUGAGCGAAGAAGGCCUUCGGUUGUAAAGCUCUGUCUGGAGGGACGAAGGAAGUGACGGUACCUCCGGAGGAAGCCACGGCUAACUACGUG
Molecule: ribosomal RNA, 474 nt
Filed under: uncultured bacterium
Lineage: Bacteria
Description: bacterial SSU rRNA
Rfam family: Bacterial small subunit ribosomal RNA
Source: RNAcentral